RNAcentral lists this ribosomal RNA (253 nucleotides) under uncultured bacterium. RNAcentral's name for it is "partial 16S ribosomal RNA". It matches the Rfam family "Bacterial small subunit ribosomal RNA", at positions 524 to 776 of the family's 1533-position model. The record is from RNAcentral.
UACGGGGGGGGCAAGCGUUGUUCGGAAUUACUGGGCGUAAAGGGCUCGUAGGCGGCCAACUAAGUCAUACGUGAAAUCCCUCGGCUUAACCGGGGAACUGCGUCUGAUACUGGAUGGCUUGAGUUCGGGAGAGGGAUGCGGAAUUCCAGGUGUAGCGGUGAAAUGCGUAGAUAUCUGGAGGAACACCGGUGGCGAAGGCGGCAUCCUGGACCGAUACUGACGCUGAGGCACGAAAGCGUGGGGAGCAAACAGG